CUCGGUGAACAUCCAUUACAAGUCACCCACCACUGCCGGCUUCAGCCAGCGCCGCAACCAUGCCAUGUGCCCGAUCUCGGCGGGCAGCCGGCCCCUGGAAUUCUUCCCUGACGACGACUGCACGUCCUCCGCCCGUCGAGAGCAGAAGCGCGAGCAGUACCGCCAGGUGCGUGAGCACGUGCGUAACGACGACGGCCGUCUGCAGGCCUGCGGCUGGAGCCUGCCCGCCAAGUACAAGCAGGUGCGGGCGGGCGCUGUGGGGACCGGGCGGGGCCCGGGUAAGGGGCGGGGCGCUGUGGGGCUGGGUGAGGGCGGGGCGAAGGUUGGGCAGUGCCAGGGGGUGGGAGGG
RNAcentral lists this small RNA (349 nucleotides) under Pongo abelii (Sumatran orangutan). RNAcentral describes it as "retained intron". The record is from RNAcentral. Lineage: Eukaryota; Metazoa; Chordata; Mammalia; Primates; Hominidae.